AUGAACGCUGGCGGCGUGCCUAAUACAUGCAAGUCGAGCGAACAGAUAAGGAGCUUGCUCCUUUGACGUUAGCGGCGGACGGGUGAGUAACACGUGGAUAACCUACCUAUAAGACUGGGAUAACUUCGGGAAACCGGAGCUAAUACCGGAUAACAUAUUGAACCGCAUGGUUCAAUAGUGAAAGGCGGCUUUGCUGUCACUUAUAGAUGGAUCCGCGCCGUAUUAGCUAGUUGGUAAGGUAACGGCUUACCAAGGCAACGAUACGUAGCCGACCUGAGAGGGUGAUCCGCCACACUGGAACUGAGACACGGUCCAGACUCCUACGGGAGGCAGCAGUAGGGAAUCUUCCGCAAUGGGCGAAAGCCUGACGGAGCAACGCCGCGUGAGUGAUGAAGGUCUUCGGAUCGUAAAACUCUGUUAUCAGGGAAGAACAAAUGUGUAAGUAACUGUGCACAUCUUGACGGUACCUGAUCAGAAAGCCACGGCUAACUACGUG
This 496-nucleotide ribosomal RNA is filed under the name uncultured bacterium. Its description in RNAcentral is "partial 16S ribosomal RNA". It matches the Rfam family "Bacterial small subunit ribosomal RNA", at positions 29 to 507 of the family's 1533-position model. The record is from RNAcentral.